CUACCCUUGACAUGUACGGAAGCCACGAGAGAUCGAGGUGUGCUCGAAAGAGAACCGUAACACAGGUGCUGCAUGGCUGUCGUCAGCUCGUGUCGUGAGAUGUUGGGUUAAGUCCUGCAACGAGCGCAACCCUUGUCAUUAGUUGCUACGAAAGAGCACUCUAAUGAGACUGCCGGUGACAAACCGGAGGAAGGUGGGGAUGACGUCAAGUCCUCAUGGCCCUUAUGGGUAGGGCUUCACACGUCAUACAAUGGUACAUACAGAGGGCCGCCAACCCGCGAGGGGGAGCUAAUCCCAGAAAGUGUAUCGUAGUCCGGAUUGUAGUCUGCAACUCGACUACAUGAAGUUGGAAUCGCUAGUAAUCGCGGAUCAGCAUGUCGCGGUGAAUA
RNAcentral lists this ribosomal RNA (389 nucleotides) under uncultured beta proteobacterium. RNAcentral's name for it is "bacterial SSU rRNA". It matches the Rfam family "Bacterial small subunit ribosomal RNA", at positions 975 to 1368 of the family's 1533-position model. The record is from RNAcentral. Lineage: Bacteria; Pseudomonadati; Pseudomonadota; Betaproteobacteria.